GUAAUGCCAUGUUCACCACCUGCCGGUGCCCCACCUUCACCACGUUCUGACCAUUCACCUGCACAGGUGAGCAGUGACAUCACACAGACAGGUAAUGCCAUGUUCACCACCUGCCGGUGCCCCACCUUCACCACGUUCUGACCAUUCACCUGUACAGGUGAGCAGUGACAUCACACAGACAGGUAAUGCCAUGUUCACCACCUGCCGGUGCCCCAC
Long non-coding RNA from Myiozetetes cayanensis, 216 nucleotides. RefSeq lists it as uncharacterized. NCBI's taxonomy places the organism in Eukaryota, Metazoa, Chordata, Aves, Passeriformes, Tyrannidae. The transcript is spliced from 3 exons. The record is from RefSeq and is a predicted model, not a curated record.